Molecule: non-coding RNA, 2542 nt
Organism: Cherax quadricarinatus
Lineage: Eukaryota; Metazoa; Arthropoda; Malacostraca; Decapoda; Parastacidae
Source: RefSeq, a predicted model, not a curated record
UUAGUUCUAACAUGUGUAAAUAGAAGUUAUACUGCAUCAAUAUUUGCUAAUCUUAGUGCAUGAUUGUAACAAGUUCUUCGUGUGUUAAAAUAAUGUGUUUUAGUGUGUAUAGUGUUGUUGAGAGUGUGUGUGUGGGAGUGUUGGAGAAAGGUGCUAACAGUUGUGUGUUGCAGGCUUGUUGCUGUGUGAGGGUUGGCUGGCCACGGGUCUAUGGGGAGGGAGAGGUCGUGGUGCAGGUCGUCCUGGUGACGCUGCUGGUGACGGAGGUGCUGCCGUCACACACUCCUGCCCGAAGUGUGGCCGUACAUACACUUUGCGGUCUAACCUCUCCCGUCACAUGCGGCUGGAGUGCGGUGUGGAGCGGCGCUACAGGUGCGCUUACUGUCACAAGAGAUUCAGUCAUGCUCAUCAUUUGCGUUCACAUGAGAGGUCCAUACACGCCCACGCCAUUGUUACUACUGCAGCAGCCACGCCUACUGCCACUGCCACGCCAGCACAGUCCUCGUGACCCAUGGUGGUGAUCCACGCCUGCAACAACCUCUAAAAACCUCAAGUGAGAGAUGCAGCAGUGAGGAACAAGGACAGUGUCUGAGUUGUGACUUGUCACCAUCAUCACUGCAACCAGUGACAACGUAUGGCACGAGUGGCCGGGGCUUCUUACUUCAACCACCACCAUCACCACAGCUAACUGCAAUGUGUGGUGCGUUUGGUUUCGACCGACAACCACCACCAUCACCACAGCUAACUGCAAUGUGUGGUGCGUUUGGUAUCGACUGACAACCGCCACCAUCACCUCAGCUAACUGUAAUGUGUGGUGCGUUGGUAUCGACUGACAACCGCCACCAUCACCACAGCUAACUGCAAUGUGUGGUGCGUUUGGUAUCAACUGACAACCACCACCAUCACCACAGCUAACUGCAAUGUGUGGUGCAUUUGGUAUCGACUAACAACCACCACCAUCACCACAGCUAAUUGCAGUGUGUGGUGCGUUUGGAAUCGACUGACAACCGCCACCAUCACCACAGCUAACUGCAAUGUGUGGUGCGUUUGGUAUCGACUGACAACCGCCACCAUCAUCAAUGUCUUUACUAUACCCGAAAGGGGUAUCAGAAUUUUAUCUUAGGGCACUUUUGUCACGAUUGUUUUUGAAAAGGGUUUAAAACCUAGCCGGGGUAAGCCAGUGGAUGCCCAUCAACUGAAUGAGUCCAUCAUCUGAUUAAGUCCUUCAGAUGUAUACCACCAACACCAUCAGCACCAACUACAUUCAACCCUGAUUUAUACUAUCACCAGCAAGGAUAACAAGUUUCUCAUACGCUUCCUGGUGGGGAAACUUUUGACACACAUGACGGGAGUUCGAUGAGUACCUCAAGUUUGUUCCUGACUAGCUGAACUGUGUGCUAGCUGGCAGCAGUAGCCUGAUUGAUCAGUCCAACAACCAUGAGGUCUGCUGUGAGACCAGGCUGCAGAGGAUGAUGACCCGAGGAAUCAGUAAGUAGGCAGAUACCAGUAGCAACCUGCCUCGCCAGUCAGCUCCCUAGAGCAAAUCUAUAUUCCCCUAAAAAAAAUUACUGUCACAUCUUGAAUUAUCUUAUUAGUAAGGUAGCGCUAAACCCAUAGGGGUCAACUGGGUCUCGCUCAGGAACGAGAAAUGAUGAAGGUUGAUCAAGUUAAGCGAAGGGGAACUUCAACUAUUUCUAAGAAGAGCCAUACUGGGUAGACUUCGGCUCCUUCGGGAUGGCUAUAGCAUGUAGAGACCAAAGUGAAUACUGUCCACUGCUUUUGUCAUAUACAGCUAACCGUAAAUAUUCUUUCCCCUUGCCUGGAAAUUGAGCAGACCAAUUGAACUACUGUCUGUAUAUCGAAACACGCUUCUUUAGUUGGAGGAUAGAGGUCAGACAACCCACUGGUACAGCAUCACUCCCGUAUUGGUGGGGCGAUAUAUUCAGCGAGGGCAAAGCGAGCAUCACUGAGUGGACACCACUGUGAUCCUGUGGCUGCCAUUUAGCUCACUGUUGGUCACUAGCGUACAUCUCUCUACGAACUCUGGGGUCAUGUGCUUUAUUCGAUGGUUAAGCCUCCCCUUGUUGGGUCCAGUGGUGGGGGGGGGACAGGGAGCUGAAGAUAAUAAAGUUGUAUGGAUAAUUCUCUUCAUACACACAGUACUGAUGACCCCUUGUAGCCCACAGACUUCUCGAAACCCAUCAAAGGUGAAGGUACAGACACGAGAUAAUAGCAGUGUGAACUAUACGAGUUACAAAUAUAAACACGUCUCCAAUGUAACAAAGUUACCAAUAUAGUUUCCAAUGUAAACAAGUUACCACUAUAAAUAUUACAGCAUGUAUUAAUAACAAAUUAGUUAAGGUACACAUAGAUACAGUUACAGGGCCAGGAGCUAUGAAUCGACCCCUACAACCACAAACAGGUGAGUACAAAAUAUCAUAUAUAGUAACGUGUGUAAAUUAUUGUUUACAGCGAGAGCAAUGUAAAAAAAAAAAAAGGUACAUACCAGCAUAAAUAAAAUACUAGUUUACAGUGUAAGCAA